This 384-nucleotide ribosomal RNA is filed under the name Polynoidae sp. USNM IZ 1450220. RNAcentral describes it as "SSU rRNA". It matches the Rfam family "Eukaryotic small subunit ribosomal RNA", at positions 51 to 414 of the family's 1831-position model. The record is from RNAcentral. Lineage: Eukaryota; Metazoa; Annelida; Polychaeta; Phyllodocida; Polynoidae.
AUGCAUGUGUAAGUACAGACUGUACAACGGUGAAACUGCGAAUGGCUCAUUAGAUCAGUUAUGGUUCCUUAGAUCGUACAAUCCUACUUGGAUAACUGUGGCAAUUCUAGAGCUAAUACAUGCUGACGACGUCCGACCUUCGCGGGAGGACUGCUUUUAUUAGAUCAAAACCAAUCGGGUGCAGCCGUCUCGCGCGGCGGCCCGUCGUUUUGGUGACUCUGGAUAACUUUGUGCCGAUCGCACGGCCUCCGAGCCGGCGACGAGUCUUUCAAAUGUCUGACCUAUCAAAUGUCGAUGGUAAGUGACCUGCUUACCAUGUUAGUAACGGGUAACGGGGAAUCAGGGUUCGAUUCCGGAGAGGGAGCAUGAGAAACGGCUACCACA